This 253-nucleotide ribosomal RNA is filed under the name uncultured bacterium. RNAcentral describes it as "partial 16S ribosomal RNA". It matches the Rfam family "Bacterial small subunit ribosomal RNA", at positions 524 to 776 of the family's 1533-position model. The record is from RNAcentral.
GACAGAGGUGCCGAGCGUUAGGCGGAAUCACUGGGCUUAAAGCGUGUGUAGGCGGGUCGUUAAGUGUCUUGUGAAAUCCCACCGCUCAACGGUGGAACCGCUGGGCAUACUGGCGAUCUUGAGCAGUCCAGGGGCGAGCGGAACAAGCGGUGGAGCGGUGAAAUGCGUAGAUAUCGAGAGGAACACCUGCGGCGAAGGCGGGUUGCUGGGCCGACACUGACGCUGAUGCGCGAAAGCCAGGGGAGCGAACGGG